Molecule: ribosomal RNA, 132 nt
Filed under: Paenibacillus riograndensis
Lineage: Bacteria; Bacillati; Bacillota; Bacilli; Caryophanales; Paenibacillaceae
Description: partial 23S ribosomal RNA
Rfam family: Bacterial large subunit ribosomal RNA
Source: RNAcentral
GCCCCCCUCAAGAUGAGAUUUCCCAAGUCAGUAAGACCCCUUGAAGACGACGAGGUAGAUAGGUUGGAGGUGGAAGCACGGCAACGUGUGGAGCUGACCAAUACUAAUCGGUCGAGGGCUUAUCCAAAUAAC